This 484-nucleotide ribosomal RNA is filed under the name uncultured bacterium. RNAcentral's name for it is "partial 16S ribosomal RNA". It matches the Rfam family "Bacterial small subunit ribosomal RNA", at positions 30 to 507 of the family's 1533-position model. The record is from RNAcentral.
AUUGAACGCUGGCGGCAGGCCUAACACAUGCAAGUCGAGCGGAUGAAGGGAGCUUGCUCCUGGAUUCAGCGGCGGACGGGUGAGUAAUGCCUAGGAAUCUGCCUGGUAGUGGGGGAUAACGUCCGGAAACGGGCGCUAAUACCGCAUACGUCCUGAGGGAGAAAGUGGGGGAUCUUCGGACCUCACGCUAUCAGAUGAGCCUAGGUCGGAUUAGCUAGUUGGUGGGGUAAAGGCCUACCAAGGCGACGAUCCGUAACUGGUCUGAGAGGAUGAUCAGUCACACUGGAACUGAGACACGGUCCAGCCUCCUACGGGAGGCAGCAGUGGGGAAUAUUGGACAAUGGGCGAAAGCCUGAUCCAGCCAUGCCGCGUGUGUGAAGAAGGUCUUCGGAUUGUAAAGCACUUUAAGUUGGGAGAAAGGGCAGUAAGUUAAUACCUUGCUGUUUUGACGUUACCAACAGAAUAAGCACCGGCUAACUUCGUG